GUGUCAGCAGCCGCGGUAAUACCGGCAGCCCGAGUGAUGGCCGAUCUUAUUGGGCCUAAAGCGUCCGUAGCUGGCCACGCAAGUCCAUCGGAAAAUCCACCCGCCCAACGGGUGGGCGUCCGGUGGAAACUGCGUGGCUUGGGACCGGAAGGCGCGACGGGUACGUCCGGGGUAGGAGUGAAAUCCCGUAAUCCUGGACGGACCGCCGAUGGCGAAAGCACCUUGGAAGGACGGAUCCGACAGUGAGGGACGAAAGCUAGGGUCUCGAAUCGGAUUAGAAACCCCCGUAGUCC
This 293-nucleotide ribosomal RNA is filed under the name uncultured prokaryote. RNAcentral's name for it is "partial 16S ribosomal RNA". It matches the Rfam family "Archaeal small subunit ribosomal RNA", at positions 455 to 747 of the family's 1478-position model. The record is from RNAcentral.